Long non-coding RNA from Engraulis encrasicolus (European anchovy), 2141 nucleotides. RefSeq lists it as uncharacterized. The transcript is spliced from 6 exons. The record is from RefSeq and is a predicted model, not a curated record. Lineage: Eukaryota; Metazoa; Chordata; Actinopteri; Clupeiformes; Engraulidae.
UUAGCUAUUGAUCUUUAACGCUUGCACUAUAAAUUAUAUUUAUUUUCUUUUAAUUCACAUGUGGACUAACUUAAUGGUUAAAACGUGUUGUGUUGGGAAAAUUAAAGGUUUGAAAUGUGAUAUUGGAUGGUUUGCUAACAUUGGUUGCUAAUAUGGUAACUGAUAAUUAGCUGGUGUGGAAUAAAUCAGGCGGCACUUUACUGAUGUGAAGUUUGAAAGCUAUUUUCUGAACAUAAAAGAAAGAAAGUCUGACAGGAUUUGUGCAAGGAUACUGAAACACCACGGAUGGAUUGACGUAGAGCUAGUACUGGUAGUGGGGCAAAAGUGGAUGCUGCUAGUAACAGGUAUCGGAGGGGGCAAGGCAAGGGCUAGCUAGCAUAGAGGCGAUUUUAAACUUCAGCGCUUCAAACGUAAGCAGUUCUGCGUCAAAUCAUGGAAAUCAGACCAUCCGCCACCCUCGUACAUGAUAAAGAAUAGCACCAGUAAAAGCAAGCAGUAUCCCACUGUUUUGUGUUGGCUCGAUGAAAGGUGAUAGAAACGAAUUUCCGAAUCACAUUAUGUCGGCUUGGUUGUUGUUGUGGCCAGUCAAUAGACAAGCUUUGAACCGUAGUUCCAUGUAAGUGUCGUGGUUUUCACUGUUUCAGUAUGUAGUUGAAUAUGGUAGAUCUGGGCAACUGGUCAACGCUGUCGUGUUUUGUCUCGGUAGACCUCGUAUGACGGUGUGUUGGGAAAAUACCGGCAGUUGUUUCAGAUGGAGGGUGCGACGUGCCAGAUGUACGCUGUUCGAGGGAUAAAACUGCCACGCACGAGAUUUUGUAGGCAAUGGUAAUUGGUGACGAUACCAUGACGUUUGAAAAGAAGAUUCAAAGUUUGAGUUUUAUGUGGCAGAGUAGAACAGCUGCGUGUGAAGUGUGGCGACUACCAAGGUAUCAACACCAGUUAUGGCUACGGGAUUUUAAAAGUACCUUCAAUGCACUGGGAACUAACGUGCUCUCCCCCUCUCUCUCUCUCUUCUCUCUUCGUCAGGGCCCAGGUCUUGUGGCCACAUCUGUCCAAGCUCCUACUCUGAUUGAACAGUUGGAUGAUCAGACUGAUGAUGAAAAGUGCUACACAGUUCUCACACAUCUUCUGACUCCGAAGCCGCUGCAGUGUAAAAUCUGAGAUGUCUUUUCUGGUUGAUUUUGUGCAGAUUUCUGACAGCGACAGCGAUGGUGAGGGAAGCAGUGUACCGAACUCUCAGAUGACUCGGACCAGGUGACCAAACCCAUGCAAAGCACAAUGACUGUGCUGAGGCGUUCCGCCCCCCUCCCCCUCCACACCACUCAAGGCACGGCGGCGGCCCAACCGCAAACUAACGGAGAUUAACAUGAGGCUGGAUGCGCUUGGCUCCCUGCUGCGUCCAUCACCAGAGGGGCCGGGAUUGCUGCGGCAGCUAGCCAAUUAAAGGAGGAGGAUGAAGGAGAGGAGUCUGACGAUGCCGACAUCGCCAUCGUAUGCAGUCCACGCCCUCGCAGGAAAACCAGCCAAUGAAAACGCUUGCAGCAGCAUCAGCAGAACACACCGGCACGACUGACAGAGCUUCUGAAGCAUGCAGUGGAAGACCUGUCAGUCAAGCUAAAGGUCCCGCCCUCCAACCUGCUGCUGCUGCACGGAGAGGCGGAACUUAACACCUCACACACUAUUGGCCAGCUAGGACUCUGCAUCGCUGACAUCUUUGGUAGGAAUGUGUGUGUGUGUGUGUGUGUGUGUUUGCGUUUGGGUGUGUUUGCGUGUGGGUCUGUGUUGGUGCAAGUCAGUCUUGGCUCCUUCCUGAUAUUAUACUGUAUAAGUUCAUACGUAUACCGCAUUGCAAAAUGAAUUUCAUAUACAGUAUAUCACGAAAGUGAAUACACACCACAGUUUUUGCAGAUUUUUGAUUAUACAUUUUCAUAGGAAAGCAUUACAGAAAUUUCACUUUGACACAAUGAUUAGUGACCUUUUAACAACUUAUUUAACCGCUUAAAUUUCUUGCGUCAGCAUGACAGUCAUGAAGUAACGAAGAUGGUUGACAGUUCUUAUGUUCACUGUCCCUGGGUCGCUACAGUAUGCUCAAAAUUCAUCAUUUAAAGACGGUUUUAGCUAAAUUUUCUCCCAUGGGAGAC